GAUGAACGCUAGCGGCAGGCCUAACACAUGCAAGUCGAGGGGCAGCACGUCUUCGGAUGGUGGCGACCGGCGCACGGGUGCGUAACGCGUAUGCAACCUACCUCUUACAGUGGGAUAGCCCAGAGAAAUUUGGAUUAAUACCGCAUAGUAUACAGAUUCAGCAUUGGGACUGUAUUAAACAUUUAUGGGUAAGAGAUGGGCAUGCGUUCUAUUAGUUAGUUGGAGUGGUAACGGCACCCCAAGACAGCGAUAGAUAGGGGCCCUGAGAGGGGGAUCCCCCACACUGGUACUGAGACACGGACCAGACUCCUACGGGAGGCAGCAGUGAGGAAUAUUGGACAAUGGGCGAAAGCCUGAUCCAGCAAUGCCGCGUGUGUGAAGAAGGCCUGAGGGUUGUAAAGCACUUUCAAUCGUGAAGAAAAGUUGCAGGCUAAUACCCUGUGACCUUGACGUUAACGAUACAAGAAGCACCGGCUAACUCCGUGCCAG
This 489-nucleotide ribosomal RNA is filed under the name uncultured bacterium. RNAcentral's name for it is "bacterial SSU rRNA". It matches the Rfam family "Bacterial small subunit ribosomal RNA", at positions 28 to 511 of the family's 1533-position model. The record is from RNAcentral.